Molecule: long non-coding RNA, 793 nt
Organism: Phyllostomus discolor (pale spear-nosed bat)
Lineage: Eukaryota; Metazoa; Chordata; Mammalia; Chiroptera; Phyllostomidae
Exons: 3
Source: RefSeq, a predicted model, not a curated record
GAGAGAGAGAAAGAGAGAGAGAGGGAUAUUUUGGGCGCAUGCACACCCCUCGGUAGCCUCUAGUUCUGCAAUACCCUGUGUAUUCUCGCCCCCGCCAGCCAGGCUUGUCCCUGGCCAAGGACUGGAGAAGGAGGGAGUCUCCAGUCCUGGCAGAGCAUCCUAUCACCAGGUUCAGUAUUUUGUAUCUUCGGUGCUGAAGCAGGGACCGGCAAGUAGGAGUAGGAUUCUUCAAAGGUGGACCCCAACCAGCCAGCCACCAGUGGGCAGCCCCGCGGUGUCCCCCGCCCGAACCCCUCCCAGGGACUCUGGCAGCUCCGGAGGAGGGGUGGGGGGGCGGGCACGGAGGGCCACGCAUUCUCCGGGGCUUAGAGCUGUCACGGAAUUUGACACCCGGAGAGGCAGCUGGUCUUUGGCCAGGACUCUUGAUUCUUCUCAAAUGGAAACAGUUUCUCCCAGUGAACCUGCUGGAAUUCUCAGUGGAGUCUCACUUCGCCUUUGCUUCCUGGUGCAUUUAACCAAGGCCGCAUUUCCCACUUUGGGGCAAGGAGGGCUCCAAAUGGAGCGGGGCUCCAGGUCGCAGAACAAGACUGUCUGACCUACAAAUGAGUGCCAGCAUUUAAAAGGAGAAUGAAAAGCAGAACGUUGCAGUGUCUAUGCAAAUCCAUUAGCACUGCUGGGAACUGGCUGUGUCCUGUAGUCGAUUCCUUCUGAGGGAACUAUAAAAGGAUGGACUCCAGCAAGAGGAAAAGUGAAUCAAAGGAAUGAAGUGGGAUGUAAACAAUAGUGGUAAGUA